Molecule: ribosomal RNA, 301 nt
Filed under: uncultured bacterium
Lineage: Bacteria
Description: partial 16S ribosomal RNA
Rfam family: Bacterial small subunit ribosomal RNA
Source: RNAcentral
CAGUAGCCGCGGUAAUACGUAGGCAGCAAGCGUUGUUCGGAGUUACUGGGCGUAAAGGGUGCGUAGGCGGUUCUAUAAGUAUGGUGUGAAAUCUCCCGGCUUAACCGGGAGGGUGCGCUAUAAACUGUGGGACUAGAGUGUGGGGGAGGAAAGUGGAAUUCCUGGUGUAGCGGUGAAAUGCGUAGAUAUCAGGAGGAACACCGGUGGUGUAAACGGCUUUCUGGACCAUAACUGACGCUGAGGAGCGAAAGCGUGGGGAGCGAACAGGAUUAGAUACCCCCGUAGUCCCUGUCUCUUAUAC